AAGGAGAUGGUGUAAUAGGUAAACAUGGGUAAUUUAGGAUUACCUGAUCGAAAGAUUGUACAGGUUCAAGUCCUGUUCUCCUUA
This 84-nucleotide transfer RNA is filed under the name Nemania diffusa. RNAcentral describes it as "tRNA-Leu". It matches the Rfam family "tRNA". Rfam says of the family: Transfer RNA (tRNA) molecules are approximately 80 nucleotides in length. Their secondary structure includes four short double-helical elements and three loops (D, anti-codon, and T loops). The record is from RNAcentral. Lineage: Eukaryota; Fungi; Ascomycota; Sordariomycetes; Xylariales; Xylariaceae.